CAGUCGCCGCGGUAAUACGAAGGGGGCUAGUGUUGCUCGGAAUGACUGGGCGUAAAGGGCGCGCAGGCGGUUUUGACAGUCAGAUGUGAAAUUCCUGGGCUUAACCUGGGGGCUGCAUUUGAGACGUCAAGACUAGAGUGUGAGAGAGGGUUGUGGAAUUCCCAGUGUAGAGGUGAAAUUCGUAGAUAUCAGGAGGAACACCGGUGGCGAAGGCGGGUCUCUGGGCAGUAACUGACGCUGAGGAGCUAAAGCGUGGGGAGCGAACAGGAUUAGAUACCCCAGUAGUCCCUGUCUCUUAUAA
Molecule: ribosomal RNA, 301 nt
Filed under: uncultured bacterium
Lineage: Bacteria
Description: partial 16S ribosomal RNA
Rfam family: Bacterial small subunit ribosomal RNA
Source: RNAcentral